UGGGCACAGGGACACAUUUGAAGUCUCGGAGCCGGGUGUUGGUUCCGGUAGCGAUCGAGGGAAGUUAGUACCGAAGUCCGGGAUGGAAGAUGGCGAGAAAAGCUGUGUGUAUUUCUGCGGUGCCCGUACCGCAAACCGACACAGGUAGGUAGGAAGAAGAUUCUAAGGCCAACGGGAGAAGGGUUGUUAAGGAACUCGGCAAAUUGACCCCGUAACUUCGGGAGAAGGGGUGCUCCAGAGAUGGAGCCGCAGAGAAUCGGCCCAAGCAACUGUUUACCAAAAACACAGGUUUGUGCUAAAUCGAAAGAUGACGUAUACGAGCUGACGCCUGCCCGGUGCUGGAAGGUUAAGAGGAGAUGUGCAAGCAUUGAAUCGAAGCCCCAGUGAACGGCGGCCGUAACGAUAACGGUCCUAAGGUAGCGAAAUUCCUUGUCAGGUAAGUUCUGACCCGCAUGAAAGGCGUAAUGAUUUGGGCACUGUCUCGACAGCCCGCCCGGCGAAAUUGUAGUACCAGUGAAGAUGCCGGUUACCCGCGACAAGACGGAAAGACCCCAUGGAGCUUUACUGUAGCCUAAUAUUGGGUUUCGAUGUUGCAUGCACAGGAUAGAUGGGACACAGGGAAACAAGUGCUUUGGCAUUUGUGGAGUGGCCGUUGGGAUACCAUCCUUGCGAUAUUGGAAUUCUAACCUGCGCCUUUUAAUCAAGGCGGUGGACAUUGUUAGGUGGGCAGUUUGACUGGGGCGGUCGCCUCCUAAAGAGUAACGGAGGCGUUCAAAGGUUCGCUCAGCUUGAACGGAAAUCAAGCAAAAGAGUGCAAACGCAGAAGCGAGCCUAACUGCGAGACUGACGGGUCGAGCAGUAACGAAAGUUGGAGUUAGUGAUCCGGUGGUAUGUGAGUGGAAAUGCCAUCGCUCAACGGAUAAAAGUUACCCUGGGGAUAACAGGCUGAUCUCCCCCAAGAGUCCACAUCGACGGGGAGGUUUGGCACCUCGAUGUCGGCUCAUCGCAUCCUGGGGCUGUAUUCGGUCCCAAGGGUUUGGCUGUUCGCCAAUUAAAGCGGUACGCGAGCUGGGUUCAGAACGUCGUGAGACAGUUCGGUCCCUAUCUGUCGUGGGCGCAGGAUAUUUGAUGGGAGCUGUUCCUAGUACGAGAGGACCGGAGCGGACGUACCUCUGGCGCACCAGUUGUUCUGCCAAGGGCAUAGCUGGGCAACUAUGUACGGAUCGGAUAAACGCUGAAAGCAUCUAAGCGUGAAGCCGACCCAAAGAUAAGAUAUCCCAUUGUUUCAAACAAGUAAGACCCCUUGAAGACUACAAGGUUGAUAGGCAUGAUGUGUAAGUGGAGUGAUCCAUUCAGCAAGCGUGUACUAAUAGGUCGAGGGCUUGACC
Molecule: ribosomal RNA, 1388 nt
Filed under: metagenome
Description: bacterial LSU rRNA
Rfam family: Bacterial large subunit ribosomal RNA
Source: RNAcentral